AGAGUUUGAUCCUGGCUCAGAACGAACGCUGGCGGCAGGCUUAACACAUGCAAGUCGAGCGCCCCGCAAGGGGAGCGGCAGACGGGUGAGUAACGCGUGGGAAUCUACCCUUUGCUACGGAAUAACGCAUGGAAACGUGUGCUAAUACCGUAUGUGUCCUUCGGGAGAAAGAUUUAUCGGCAAAGGAUGAGCCCGCGUUGGAUUAGCUAGUUGGUGGGGUAAAGGCCUACCAAGGCGACGAUCCAUAGCUGGUCUGAGAGGAUGAUCAGCCACAUUGGGACUGAGACACGGCCCAAACUCCUACGGGAGGCAGCAGUGGGGAAUAUUGGGCAAUGGGCGCAAGCCUGAUCCAGCCAUGCCGCGUGAGUGAUGAAGGCCUUAGGGUUGUAAAGCUCUUUCACCGGAGAAGAUAAUGACGGUAUCCGGAGAAGAAGCCCCGGCUAACUUCGUGCCAGCAGCCGCGGUAAUACGAAGGGGGCUAGCGUUGUUCGGAUUUACUGGGCGUAAAGCGCACGUAGGCGGAUCGAUCAGUCAGGGGGUGAAAUCCCAGAGCUCAACUCUGGAACUGNCUUUGAUACUGUCGAUCUGGAGUAUGGAAGAGGUGAGUGGAAUUCCGAGUGUAGAGGUGAAAUUCGUAGAUAUUCGGAGGAACACCAGUGGCGAAGGCGGCUC
RNAcentral lists this ribosomal RNA (672 nucleotides) under uncultured bacterium. Its description in RNAcentral is "bacterial SSU rRNA". It matches the Rfam family "Bacterial small subunit ribosomal RNA", at positions 8 to 727 of the family's 1533-position model. The record is from RNAcentral.